GGGCGCGUAUCUCAAGCGGAUAGAGCAUCGGAUUUCUAAUCCGAGGGUUGCAGGUUCAAGUCCUGCCGCGCCUACCA
Molecule: transfer RNA, 77 nt
Filed under: Acidobacteriota bacterium
Lineage: Bacteria; Pseudomonadati; Acidobacteriota
Description: Acidobacteria bacterium tRNA-Arg
Rfam family: tRNA
About the family: Transfer RNA (tRNA) molecules are approximately 80 nucleotides in length. Their secondary structure includes four short double-helical elements and three loops (D, anti-codon, and T loops). Further hydrogen bonds mediate the characteristic L-shaped molecular structure. tRNAs have two regions of fundamental functional importance: the anti-codon, which is responsible for specific mRNA codon recognition, and the 3' end, to which the tRNAs corresponding amino acid is attached (by aminoacyl-tRNA synthetases). tRNAs cope with the degeneracy of the genetic code in two manners: having more than one tRNA (with a specific anti-codon) for a particular amino acid; and 'wobble' base-pairing, i.e. permitting non-standard base-pairing at the 3rd anti-codon position.
Source: RNAcentral